CACAGAGGAACUUGUUCCUUGGGUGGCGAGCGGCGGACGGGUGAGUAAUGCCUGGGAAAUUGCCCUGAUGUGGGGGAUAACCAUUGGAAACGAUGGCUAAUACCGCAUGAUGCCUACGGGCCAAAGAGGGGGACCUUCGGGCCUCUCGCGUCAGGAUAUGCCCAGGUGGGAUUAGCUAGUUGGUGAGGUAAUGGCUCACCAAGGCGACGAUCCCUAGCUGGUCUGAGAGGAUGAUCAGCCACACUGGAACUGAGACACGGUCCAGACUCCUACGGGAGGCAGCAGUGGGGAAUAUUGCACAAUGGGCGCAAGCCUGAUGCAGCCAUGCCGCGUGUAUGAAGAAGGCCUUCGGGUUGUAAAGUACUUUCAGUCGUGAGGAAGGUUGUAGUGUGAAUAGCACUAUGAUUUGACGUUAGCGACAGAAGAAGCACCGGCUAACUCCGUGCCAGCAGCCGCGGUAAUACGGAGGGUGCGAGCGUUAAUCGGAAUUACUGGGCGUAAAGCGCAUGCAGGUGGUUUGUUAAGUCAGAUGUGAAAGCCCUGGGCUCAACCUAGGAGUUGCAUUUGAAACUGACAAGCUAGAGUACUGUAGAGGGGGGUAGAA
This 604-nucleotide ribosomal RNA is filed under the name Vibrio sp. N24. RNAcentral describes it as "bacterial SSU rRNA". It matches the Rfam family "Bacterial small subunit ribosomal RNA", at positions 70 to 666 of the family's 1533-position model. Lineage: Bacteria; Pseudomonadati; Pseudomonadota; Gammaproteobacteria; Vibrionales; Vibrionaceae. The record is from RNAcentral.